UACGUAGGGUGCGAGCGUUAAUCGGAAUUACUGGGCGUAAAGCGUGCGCAGGCGGUUAUUUAAGUCAGGGGUGAAGCCCUGGGCUUAACCUAGGAAUUGCGCUUGAGACUGGAUAGCUUGGAGUGCGGCAGAGGGAGGUGGAAUUCCACGUGUAGCAGUGAAAUGCGUAGAGAUGUGGAGGAACACCGAUGGCGAAGGCAGCCUCCUGGGCCAGCACUGACGCUCAUGCACGAAAGCGUGGGGAGCAAACAGG
RNAcentral lists this ribosomal RNA (253 nucleotides) under uncultured bacterium. RNAcentral describes it as "partial 16S ribosomal RNA". It matches the Rfam family "Bacterial small subunit ribosomal RNA", at positions 524 to 776 of the family's 1533-position model. The record is from RNAcentral.